Molecule: ribosomal RNA, 458 nt
Filed under: uncultured bacterium
Lineage: Bacteria
Description: partial 16S ribosomal RNA
Rfam family: Bacterial small subunit ribosomal RNA
Source: RNAcentral
CCUACGGGGGGCAGCAGUGGGGAAUAUUGCACAAUGGGGGAAACCCUGAUGCAGCGACGCCGCGUGAGUGAAGAAGGAUUUCGGUACGGAAAGCUCUAUCAGCAGGGAAGAAAAACCGGCCUUAGGGCCGCCAGACGGUACCUGACUAAGAAGCCCCGGCUAACUACGUGCCAGCAGCCGCGGUAAUACGUAGGGGGCAAGCGUUAUCCGGAUUUACUGGGUGUAAAGGGAGCGUAGACGGCAGCGCAAGGCCGGAGUGAAAUGCCGGGGCCCAACCCCGGAACUGCUUUGGAAACUGUGCAGCUGGAGUGCAGGAGAGGUAAGCGGAAUUCCUGGUGUAGCGGUGAAAUGCAUAGAUAUCAGGAGGAACACCGGUGGCGAAGGCGGCAUGCUGGACUGCAACUGACGUUGAGGCCCGAAAGCGUGGGGAGCAAACAGGAUUAGAUACCCCUGUAGUC